CUUGUGAUAUGUUAGGCUUCUAACUGAGCUCUUCUGUGAAUGUUUUUAAAAUGUUGAUGGAAUACUCUAUUCAUUUAGUGCGAUUUAGUCCUAAAUUUAAGCAUCAUAUAAUGUUUGAGUUAUGUCAAAAUUCAAUUGUACUUGAAGUUGGAAAAACAUUAAUUUCCUUGCAACAGCACAUGUACAUCCCCAGCUAGAAGAGAGAGGUAAAAUUGGCUUGGGAUAGUGAUGUGGAAUGUAUUAGUGAUAAUUUUAUUGGAAAAU
This 264-nucleotide unclassified non-coding RNA is filed under the name Hevea brasiliensis (rubber tree). Lineage: Eukaryota; Viridiplantae; Streptophyta; Magnoliopsida; Malpighiales; Euphorbiaceae. The record is from RNAcentral.